UCAUAAUGUCGCUCAACAUAAAGAACAGGAGAAAGGAGGGAAACUUACAGUUCAGUCAACAGCGGAAAAUGGAUUUGUGGAAAAGCGUGUUGCCAAUCAAGGGGAAUUUCACUGGAUUUCUACGCUGUGGUUUGUCUGUCAAGCGAAAGGUCUUUACGCCGAUACGUGUAAAAGGUCUGUAACAUGUGAAGCUGGCUGAUUCUUUGAACUACUUCCCUGUUUGAGAUAACUAACUUUAAUAAAGAAAAGUGUUUUUA
Molecule: long non-coding RNA, 257 nt
Organism: Pocillopora damicornis (cauliflower coral)
Lineage: Eukaryota; Metazoa; Cnidaria; Anthozoa; Scleractinia; Pocilloporidae
Source: RefSeq, a predicted model, not a curated record